GCAAGUCGAACGAAGUAGCAAUACUUAGUGGCAGACGGGUGAGUAACAUGUAGGUAUCUACCCUUUGGCCUGGAAUAACACGAGGAAACUUGUGCUAAUACCGGAUAAGUCUUUACGGAGAAAGCUUUAUGCACCAUUGGAUGAGCCUGCACUUGAUUAGUUUGUUGGUGGGGUAAUGGCCUACCAAGACUGUGAUCAAUAGCUGAUUUGAGAGGAUGAUCAGCCACAUUGGGACUGAGACACGGCCCAAACUCCUACGGGAGGCAGCAGUGGGGAAUCUUGCACAAUGGAGGAAACUCUGAUGCAGCGAUGCCGCGUGAGUGAAGAAGGCCUUUGGGUUGUAAAGCUCUUUCGUCGGGGAAGAAAAUGACUGUACCCGAAUAAGAAGGUCCGGCUAACUUCGUGCCAGCAGCCGCGGUAAUACGAAGGGACCUAGCGUAGUUCGGAAUUACUGGGCUUAAAGAGUUCGUAGGUGGUUGAAAAAGUUAGUGGUGAAAUCCCAGAGCUUAACUCUGGAACUGCCAUUAAAACUUUUCAGCUAGAGUAUGAUAGA
This 553-nucleotide ribosomal RNA is filed under the name uncultured bacterium. Its description in RNAcentral is "bacterial SSU rRNA". It matches the Rfam family "Bacterial small subunit ribosomal RNA", at positions 57 to 655 of the family's 1533-position model. The record is from RNAcentral.